CCUAAAGAUGGGGCGAGGACAGAUGUAAUUAUAAACAGGUGUUUCCUUUGUCAUUAAGGCGGGGAAAGUGGAAAGCGUUGAAUUUAAGAAAGGCAGGUGCAAUUUAAACAUUUCUUGGAUACAUAUAUAGUAAUAUAGAUAGAUGUAUUAUGUUGUUUUAGAGAUGCUUGAUUACUAUUAGCUUUAUAUUAUGUAAUUAUCGUUUUUAUGUUUCUCUUUGUUACAAUGGGGACUAUGGUGAUGCAAUGAAUCUUUGAGUUCUUGAAGUGUUUUUAUAAGAGAUUUGGACAACAACUCAAGUCUUGAAACCAUGUAACAUGAGUUGUCAUAGCUUUGCACCUUUAGACAUUGUCAUCUUUCUUUCGACUUCAUCAAUUUUCUUUCUUAUCACACAGAAAAUGUAGAUAUGGUUGCUGAAUGCUCGACAUGUAAAAGUAAAGGAAGAUUUGCCAAGAUACCUCACUCCAAAUUACCAAGUUUUGUUUCGUUAUUAUUGUGAGAUUAGCACUCCAACAUAGCAAGACUAUUAAAGAAAUGAUGAUGAACUUCUCAAGGACUGCAGUUUUCAAUGUUAACAACGUACAGGAAAGUAAUCAAG
Erigeron canadensis is the source of this 598-nucleotide long non-coding RNA. RefSeq lists it as uncharacterized. The transcript is spliced from 3 exons. The record is from RefSeq and is a predicted model, not a curated record. NCBI's taxonomy places the organism in Eukaryota, Viridiplantae, Streptophyta, Magnoliopsida, Asterales, Asteraceae.